Molecule: long non-coding RNA, 419 nt
Filed under: Sus scrofa (pig)
Lineage: Eukaryota; Metazoa; Chordata; Mammalia; Artiodactyla; Suidae
Description: lncRNA (ENSSSCG00015035697.1)
Source: RNAcentral
UGUUGUGGUUUGUUAUUGUUGAAAAUAACGGACUCCCUCUCUCUGGCCACACUCCUGACGCACCCUCUGCGACUCUCUUAGUCCCGACUUGCCUUUCUCUGCAGGUAUCUGCACAUCUGAGCUAUGAAUUCCGCGUAGGAGACGCAUUUCCAUGAGAAACGGGCAUUGUGUUAGAGAGCUUCAUUCCCCACAACGUACCCACCCAGAUGCAGUGCUUCCUGGAAUGAACCAUGGUCUCCGUUUUUAUUCAAGAAUGCUUCCGGAUUUCGGGAAGAUGUCUGCUAGCGUUUGGAUAGUAAAUACAUUCUUUAAAAGCUCGGGGAUACUCUAGGCUGCUGGGAUGUUAGGGAGAAGAGUCACACCAUUCUCAAGCUCUGCAGGAGCUGGCCAUGGUUGAAUGUAGUGAGUUGCUUCUUCAU